GAAUAAGCCGACUUUGUGUAACUGCCUCCUCAAUGUUUUUCCUCCCAACCGGCAAUUUGUGCAUGUAAUUUUCAGCAGCCAGCAACUUAAUCUUCCACCCAGAAGCCGAAAUUUUCGUGUGUGGAGACGAAUUUCAGCAAGCCCAGCCUUAUUAAUUCAACUGUCUUAUUUGCUUCGAUUUCGUACGUAUAUAAAUAAAAUCUAGCAGCUGCUAAUUAACUCCAAAAAAGGGACUCCCUUGUUUGCUGUGAGUGUAUAUAAUAAUCUUCUUGGCUUCCCUCAAAUUCUAUUAUCUUUUCUCUCGAUUUUCUGUGAUGAAUCAAUUGGAGCCGUCAUAAUUGACUCCAAAGUGGAUUCCAAUUUUCU
This 366-nucleotide long non-coding RNA is filed under the name Olea europaea subsp. europaea. Lineage: Eukaryota; Viridiplantae; Streptophyta; Magnoliopsida; Lamiales; Oleaceae. The record is from RNAcentral.